UAAAGCAUUUAAGUCGGGAAAGACAGGGUAGUGGUUAAUACCCGUGGAGGAAGACGGUACCGGAAGAAUAAGCACCGGCUAACUACGUGCCAGCAGCCGCGGUAAUACGUAGGGGGCAAGCGUUAAUCGGAAUUUUUGGGGGUAAAGCGUGUGCAGGCGGUGUCAUAAGACAGAUGUGAAAUCCCCGGGCUUAACCUGGGAACUGCAUUUGUGACUGGCGGGCUAGAGUAUGGCAGAGGGGGGUAGAAUUCCACGUGUAGCAGUGAAAUGCGUAGAGAUGUGGAGGAAUACCGAUGGAGAAGGCAGCCCCCUGGGCCAAUACUGACGCUCAAGGCGAAAGCGUGGGGAGCAAACAGGAUUAGAUACCCUGGUAGUUCACGCCCUAAAAGAUGUCAUAUAGU
Molecule: ribosomal RNA, 401 nt
Filed under: uncultured bacterium
Lineage: Bacteria
Description: bacterial SSU rRNA
Rfam family: Bacterial small subunit ribosomal RNA
Source: RNAcentral